RNAcentral lists this ribosomal RNA (477 nucleotides) under uncultured bacterium. Its description in RNAcentral is "bacterial SSU rRNA". It matches the Rfam family "Bacterial small subunit ribosomal RNA", at positions 38 to 507 of the family's 1533-position model. The record is from RNAcentral.
UGGGCGGCAGGCCUAACACAUGCAAGUCGAGGCGGUAGGAGAGGUGCUUGCAUCUCUUGAGAGCGGGCGGACGGGUGAGUAAUGCCUAGAAUCUGCCUAGUGGUGGGGAUAACGUUCGGAAACGGACGCUAAUACCGCAUACGUCCGUACGGAGAAAGCGGGGGAUCUUCGGACCUCGCGCCAUUAGAUGAGCCUAGGUCGGAUUAGCUAGUUGGUGAGGUAAUGGCUCACCAAGGCGACGAUCCGUAACUGGUCUGAGAGGAUGAUCAGUCACACUGGAACUGAGACACGGUCCAGACUCCUACGGGAGGCAGCAGUGGGGAAUAUUGGACAAUGGGCGAAAGCCUGAUCCAGCCAUGCCGCGUGUGUGAAGAAGGUCUUCGGAUUGUAAAGCACUUUAAGUUGGGAGGAAGGGUAGUAACCUAAUACGUUGCUACUUUGACGUUACCGACAGAAUAAGCACCGGCUAACUUCGUG